Molecule: long non-coding RNA, 360 nt
Filed under: Ananas comosus (pineapple)
Lineage: Eukaryota; Viridiplantae; Streptophyta; Magnoliopsida; Poales; Bromeliaceae
Description: long non-coding RNA (ACOM_LNC019895)
Source: RNAcentral
UAAUUAGGAUUCUUUUUCCUGUGUAGUUAAAAUGGCUAGUCGUCGGAUGCCUCUUAGUGUUCAUUGGGAUGGACAGUUAGUUAUGGAUCGAAAUGGUCCCCGAUAUUUCGGUGGUCGAAAGAAAUUGAUCGCGAUUCGUUCAGAUACGACCUAUACGAAUUUUGAGAGGAGAAUGUAUCGUUUAGUAAAUUGUAAUAGAGAAGAAUGUUGUCUUAAAUACAAAAUUCGAUGCCCUAUGGGAGCGAAUGAAUAUAUUGAUCAUGAUAUAGUAGAUGAUGAAUCAUUGGAGGGUUUAAUUGGAUUGUCUGAACAUUAUGGAUGUGUGUCGCUAUACAUCGAGAAAGAUUUAUAUUCGUCGGA